This 1229-nucleotide ribosomal RNA is filed under the name metagenome. Its description in RNAcentral is "bacterial LSU rRNA". It matches the Rfam family "Bacterial large subunit ribosomal RNA", at positions 1703 to 2912 of the family's 2925-position model. The record is from RNAcentral.
GGUGAAGGAACUAGGCAAAAUGGCACCGUAACUUCGGGAGAAGGUGCGCCGGCUAGGGUGAAGGAUUUACUCCGUAAGCUCUGGCUGGUCGAAGAUACCAGGCCGCUGCGACUGUUUAUUAAAAACACAGCACUCUGCAAACACGAAAGUGGACGUAUAGGGUGUGACGCCUGCCCGGUGCCGGAAGGUUAAUUGAUGGGGAUAGCGCAAGCGAAGCUCUUGAUCGAAGCCCCGGUAAACGGCAGCCGUAACGAUAACGGUCCUAAGGUAGCGAAAUUCCUUGUCGGGUAAGUUCCGACCUGCACGAAUGGCGUAACGAUGGCGGCGCUGUCUCCACCCGAGACUCAGUGAAAUUGAAAUCGCUGUGAAGAUGCAGUGUAUCCGCGGCUAGACGGAAAGACCCCGUGAACCUUUACUGUAGCUUUGCACUGGACUUUGAGCCUGCUUGUGUAGGAUAGGUGGGAGGCUUUGAAGCGUGGACGCCAGUUCGCGUGGAGCCAUCCUUGAAAUACCUCCCUGGCAUGCUUGAGGUUCUAACUCUGGUCCGUAAUCCGGAUCGAGGACAGUGUAUGGUGGGCAGUUUGACUGGGGCGGCCUCCUCCUAAAGAGUAACGGAGGAGUACGAAGGUGCGCUCAGACCGGUCGGAAAUCGGUCGCAGAGUAUAAAGGCAAAAGCGCGCUUGACUGCGAGACAGACACGUCGAGCAGGUACGAAAGUAGGUCUUAGUGAUCCGGUGGUUCUGUAUGGAAGGGCCAUCGCUCAACGGAUAAAAGGUACUCCGGGGAUAACAGGCUGAUACCGCCCAAGAGUUCAUAUCGACGGCGGUGUUUGGCACCUCGAUGUCGGCUCAUCACAUCCUGGGGCUGAAGCCGGUCCCAAGGGUAUGGCUGUUCGCCAUUUAAAGUGGUACGCGAGCUGGGUUUAGAACGUCGUGAGACAGUUCGGUCCCUAUCUGCCGUGGACGUUUGAGAUUUGAGAGGGGCUGCUCCUAGUACGAGAGGACCGGAGUGGACGAACCUCUGGUGUUCCGGUUGUCACGCCAGUGGCGUUGCCGGGUAGCUAUGUUCGGAAAAGAUAACCGCUGAAAGCAUCUAAGCGGGAAACUUGCCUCAAGAUGAGAUCUCACUGGGAACUUGAUUCCCCUGAAGGGCCGUCGAAGACUACGACGUUGAUAGGCUGGGUGUGUAAGCGUUGUGAGGCGUUGAGCUAACCAGUACUAAUUGCCCGU